UCAACUGCGUGAUAGGAGAUGGAGCCAGGUGGGUGGCGGGCUCUGCUUCCAGGGAACAAGGGACAGGGCAAGAAGACAUAGUCUUAAAUGUGCCAGAAAAGGUUUCAUCGUAUUUAAGGAGGAAUUACUUUCCAUAAAGGGUGAUGAGAUAUUAGAAUGGGGUACUCGUGUGUGGUAGAUUCACUGUGGCAGGAGGUGUUCCAGCUAAGCCUGAGUGUGACACUCAGGGCUGAUCUGGUUGCCACUGGUGGAGCUGGGUCCCAGGUUGGACUCAGUGAUCUCACAGAGCUCUUCCACCUCAAUUGAUUCCAUGAUUCUGUGACAUCCCGGCCUUUGGGGACAGCACGGUGGCUGAUGAGUGUCCCCAGCCCAUCGCCGUGCCCAGAGGCCAGGCAGAAGUGGCUGGGAAGGACGGGCAGAGCCUGCUGAGGGUGGCAGCUUGGCCUUGAGCAGCAGCAUGGGCAGCCAGGGGCUCUCCCGGCUGCUGCAGCUCUCGGUGCUGCUGCUCUCGGUGCAGCCACUGGAGCCUUCCAGCCCCGCUGCCAGGGACUCGGGGGCCUGGGAUGCGCUUCCCGAGCUCCUGGAAGAGCGGGACAGGACGUGGCGCCCAUGAGGGAGCCGCUGCGGAGAGGUCUUCGAGUCUGAGCAAGGCCUGAAGAAAUUAGCUUCUUCUGAUUAAAAAAACAUAGAUUCUUCUUCUUUGGAAGAUUUA
Vidua chalybeata is the source of this 712-nucleotide long non-coding RNA. RefSeq lists it as uncharacterized. NCBI's taxonomy places the organism in Eukaryota, Metazoa, Chordata, Aves, Passeriformes, Viduidae. The record is from RefSeq and is a predicted model, not a curated record. The transcript is spliced from 2 exons.